Molecule: transfer RNA, 83 nt
Filed under: Schistocephalus solidus
Lineage: Eukaryota; Metazoa; Platyhelminthes; Cestoda; Diphyllobothriidea; Diphyllobothriidae
Rfam family: tRNA
About the family: Transfer RNA (tRNA) molecules are approximately 80 nucleotides in length. Their secondary structure includes four short double-helical elements and three loops (D, anti-codon, and T loops). Further hydrogen bonds mediate the characteristic L-shaped molecular structure. tRNAs have two regions of fundamental functional importance: the anti-codon, which is responsible for specific mRNA codon recognition, and the 3' end, to which the tRNAs corresponding amino acid is attached (by aminoacyl-tRNA synthetases). tRNAs cope with the degeneracy of the genetic code in two manners: having more than one tRNA (with a specific anti-codon) for a particular amino acid; and 'wobble' base-pairing, i.e. permitting non-standard base-pairing at the 3rd anti-codon position.
Source: Rfam by way of RNAcentral
GGUCUCGUAGUGCAGUUGGCUAGAGCGUUGGCUGAACUACAGCCUUCCCCGUGCUGGCGUGGGUUCGAAUCCCACCGAGGCCG